This 792-nucleotide long non-coding RNA is filed under the name Oryza sativa (Asian cultivated rice). Its description in RNAcentral is "long non-coding RNA (OSAT_LNC000097)". The record is from RNAcentral. Lineage: Eukaryota; Viridiplantae; Streptophyta; Magnoliopsida; Poales; Poaceae.
UUGAAAUCUAAACAGGGCCGUAACUGUCUCCUGUCUGUCGUAUAUACGUAUGAGGUGGUAGUAUCUCCGUAUCUCCGUACCCGCACUGGCAGGGUGUCGCUGAGGUGGCCGCGCGGCUAGUGGGCUCCAACUGCAAAGACCCCGGGCCCACAUGUCAUCCACCGAGAAGGAAAACCCACCGGCAAACAGUUAUCCGGGCCCACCGCCGCUGUAGCACACUGCUCGUUGAUUCGACCAACGCGGCAUUUCUUCCUUCCCCCUACGAAAUUACCAUCCUACCCUCUCCCACUCCCUCCUCCCUGAACCAAGCCCACGCGCCUCGCCGUCCGAUCCACCUCGAGAUCCGCGCCCUCCUGCGCUCAGCUCCUACACCGAGUCCACAGAGAAACCAGGUCCGCCCCCGCGCGGACUCUCCGUACACCCCUCCCCACCGCGCUGGCCCCCACUCCGACCGUCCGUUCCCGCCUCGUGAUUCGUGCCGGCGACCACCCGCCUCCGUGGACCCGGUCCACGGGGAGAUUACACCUUCACCCCCCUCACCUCACCUCACCUCACACCACGCGUCUCCCCCCACCAACUAGCUCUCUCUCUCUCUCUCUCUCUCGCGCCGCCGCUACGCUCGCCGCGCCGCCGCUACGCUCGCCGCGCCGCCGCUACGCUCGCCGCGCCGCCGCGGGUGGGGAGAUUUGACCGGCGUUGACUCCGGGAUGGACGGGCGGUUCCCGCUGCCGCCGGCGAGCGGAGGGGGGCGGGGGCACCACCGGCGGGCGCACUCGGAGACGUUCCUGCGGC